This 265-nucleotide ribosomal RNA is filed under the name uncultured archaeon. RNAcentral's name for it is "partial 16S ribosomal RNA". It matches the Rfam family "Archaeal small subunit ribosomal RNA", at positions 748 to 1008 of the family's 1478-position model. The record is from RNAcentral.
CAGCCGUAAACAAUGUGCGUUAGGUUGUGUCGGUAACCACGUGUUACUGAUGCGGCCGAAGACGAAAUCGUGAAACGCACCACCUGGGAAGUACGGUCGCAAGGCUCGAAACUUAAAGGAAUUGGCGGGGGAGCACCACAACAGGUGGAGCCUGCGGUUUAAUUGGAUUCAACGCCGGACAUCUCACCGGAUAAGACAGCUGAAUGAUUGUCAAUCUGAAGGUUUUACAUGACUAGCUGAGAGGAGGUGCAUGGCGUCAGUGACU